GCUUGCUCAGAUAUGACGAUGGACAUUGCAAAGAGUGGCGAACGGGUGAGUAACACGUGGGAAACCUACCUCUUAGCAGGGGAUAACAUUUGGAAACAGAUGCUAAUACCGUAUAACAAUGACAACCGCAGGUUGUUAUUUAAAAGAUGGUUCUGCUAUCACUAAGAGAUGGUCCCGCGGUGCAUUAGCUAGUUGGUAAGGUAAUGGCUUACCAAGGCGAUGAUGCAUAGCCGAGUUGAGAGACUGAUCGGCCACAAUGGGACUGAGACACGGCCCAUACUCCUACGGGAGGCAGCAGUAGGGAAUCUUCCACAAUGGGCGAAAGCCUGAUGGAGCAACGCCGCGUGUGUGAUGAAGGGUUCGGCUCGUAAACACUGUUGUAAGAGAAGAAUGACAUUGAGAGUAACUGUUCAAUGUGUGACGGUUCUUACCAGAAAGGAACGGCUAAUACGUGCCAGCAGCCGCGGUAUACGUAUGUUCCAGCGUUAUCCGGAUUUAUUGGCGUAAAGCGAGCGCAGACGUUAUUAAGUCUGAGUGAAGCCCUCAGCUCAACUGAGGAAUUGCUUUGGAACUGAUGACUUGAGUGCAGUAGAGGAAGUGGAACUCCAUGUGUAGCGGUGAAAUGCGUAGAUAUAUGGAAGACACCAGUGGCGAAGCGGCUUCUGGACUGUAACUGACGUUGAGGCUCGAAGUGUGGGUAGCAAACAGAUUAGAUACCUG
RNAcentral lists this ribosomal RNA (720 nucleotides) under Weissella confusa. RNAcentral describes it as "bacterial SSU rRNA". It matches the Rfam family "Bacterial small subunit ribosomal RNA", at positions 62 to 788 of the family's 1533-position model. The record is from RNAcentral. Lineage: Bacteria; Bacillati; Bacillota; Bacilli; Lactobacillales; Lactobacillaceae.